Molecule: ribosomal RNA, 253 nt
Filed under: uncultured bacterium
Lineage: Bacteria
Description: partial 16S ribosomal RNA
Rfam family: Bacterial small subunit ribosomal RNA
Source: RNAcentral
UACGUAGGGUGCAAGCGUUGUCCGGAAUUAUUGGGCGUAAAGAGCUCGUAGGCGGCCUGUUGCGUCCGCUGUGAAAUCCCGGGGCUCAACCCCGGGCCUGCAGUGGAUACGGGCUGGCUAGAGGCAGGCAGGGGAGAACGGAAUUCCUGGUGUAGCGGUGAAAUGCGCAGAUAUCAGGAGGAACACCGGUGGCGAAGGCGGGUCUCUGGGCCGAUACUGACGCUGAGGAGCGAAAGCGUGGGGAGCGAACAGG